Molecule: RNA transcript, 3912 nt
Organism: Antechinus flavipes (yellow-footed antechinus)
Lineage: Eukaryota; Metazoa; Chordata; Mammalia; Dasyuromorphia; Dasyuridae
Gene: PPFIBP2
Gene name: PPFIA binding protein 2
Exons: 32
Source: RefSeq, a predicted model, not a curated record
UCAGGCCACUGCACAUCAUAAGCUUUCUGAAUAACCCUAUGACUUAAAGGAAGCUGUUCUCCCUUUACUUGCACUGAUGGGCUGGGCUCUUAGGAAUUACUUAUUACGCAGACUUUGGUGUGGUGGCUCUUAGGAAGCUUGUCAUUUAUCUGAAAAGUGAGGGUGAUGUUCCUGGUACUGAAACCAUCUAACAACCAGGCUGAAAAGAAAAGGAAAAAAAAAGCCUCUAGAAAUCUAAGAGGAAAUCAUAUCUAAAGAAAUAAGAGAAAGAAACUGAGCAAGCUAAAAAGCAGCCAUGGCGUCAGAUGCUAGUCACAUGCUAGAGGCUGCCCUUGAGCAGAUGGAUGGGAUUAUUGCAGGCACCAAAUCAGCUGCUGAACACAGCAAUGGUGUCUAUGAUGUUGGGCUGCCCUCCCAAUCCCCAUACAUGAACAUGUUCCCAGUACUUCAUCUCAUGGAGGACCUGAGGCUGUCGCUGGAGAUGCUGGAGGAUCCUCAGGAAAGAGAAGUCCUUCGGGGGCAGAUCCCAGAGCCCACUGCAGCUUACAUAAAAGAGUGGCUUCAGGGAAAUCUGUCCCAGGUAAGCCACCCAGCUGCAGUUACAAAUGAAACCUACCAGGAGCGUUUGGCCCGUUUAGAAGGAGACAAGGAAUCUCUCAUGUUACAGGUGAGUGUCCUGACUGACCAGGUGGAGGUCCAGGGAGAGAAGAUCCGGGACUUAGAAGUCUGCCUGGAAGGGCACCAGGCGAAACUGAAUGCUGCUGAAGAGAUGCUUCAACAGGAAUUGUUGAGCCGCACGUCACUUGAGGCACAGAAACUGGAGCUGACGGCGGAGGUUUCGGAGCUGAAGCUUCGGCUGGUCGGCAUGGAAAGGGAACAGAAAGAACAGGAGGAGAAGCAGAGGAAAGCCGAGUUAGUAGUGAAUCUGAUCAGUGAUCUACAGGAGCAGAUGUGUAGACUACAGCUGGAAAUCAGUAGCCAAAUUCAAGAGAGAAUGUUGCAGGACAGGGACCACAUGGAUGAAUAUAGUCCUCAGGAGAGCCCCCAGGCCAGCAACCCCGAUGGCUUGCCUGAAUUGCUGCAGGAACUCAAGCAUCUCAAAAUUAAAGUGGAAGAGUUGGAGAGUGAGCGAAAUCAGUAUGAAUGGAAGUUAAAAGCAACAAAGGCUGAAAUCGCCCAACUGCAAGAGCAGUUGGCAUUGAAGGAUGCAGAAAUCGAGCGCCUCCACAGCCAGCUCUCCAGGACCGUGGCCUGCGCCGAAAGCACAGAGAGAGAGGGAGUUUGUAAGAGAAGGCUAAAGGAAAAAUAUCAAGAAGUUCAACGUCUAAAAAUAGGAAUGGAAACCUUACUUGUUGCAAAUGAAGAAAAGGACCGUAGGAUAGAGGAGCUCACACUAUUACUGAGCCAGUACCGAAGAGUAAAGGAGAUCAUGUUGGGUGGUCACGGCUCUUCAGAAAGAAUCCUUUCUAGUGGAGAUGAAGAAAUGGAGGGAUCUUUCAGGAAAUGGAACAUGGUGAACAAAUCCUUAGGAGAUGCUAUGAAACUGGAGAUGUCUCCCAGAUGUACUUCCCCUACUUUAGGGGCUCCUCCCCUGCCUCAGAAAAUCCUGGAAACAAGUGGAAGCAUCCUGGAUGCCAGCAAUGGCCAGAUUUCCCACUGUGAGGAGGAUUCCCUGGAAACACAGAGCAGGACUCAGGAAAAACUGUCCAGUAGUCUGGAAGACCUGCAACAUAACUCUGUGGAAAAGUAUGUAGACGGGAAACCACUCGUGCCUGUUGUAGGAUCUGAGGACACUCUUUUCCUAGGGGAAAACAAAUACCCAACAUUACCAGGGAAGCUUUCUGGAACUACACACAAUGGAGAGCCUGGAACAUCAAUCCCAUCUGCUUCUCACACCUCAGGUAGCAGCCUACCAAGCCUGACUCGUGGCCGGAGUGUCAGUGCACCGAUAUUAGGAGAGACUGAGAGCAGUUUGGAUAAUACUGUCACAUCAAAUGACCUUUCACCUACUUCUUCUGGAACCGAUUCUGGACCCCAGUCCCCACUGACUCCAGAACUGAAGCGGAGUCCUAAAGGCAUCAAGAAAUUCUGGGGAAAAAUAAGAAGGACUCAGUCAGGAAAUUUCAACACAGAUGCAAUAGGAAUAGCAGAAUUCCGCCGAGGUGGGCUCCGGGCAACUGCAGGACCGAGGCUAUCCAGAACCAGAGACCCCAAAGCUCAGAAAAGUGAUUCCAACGCUCCUUUUGCCCAGUGGAACACGGAGCAAGUGUGUACGUGGCUGGAGGACUUUGGUCUCGGUCAGUAUGUGAUCUUUGCCAGGCAGUGGGUGAGUUCCGGUCAUACGCUCCUGACUGCUACCCCUCAAGACAUGGAAAAGGAGAUGGGAAUUAAGCAUCCCCUGCACAGAAAAAAAUUAGUUUUAGCCGUGAAAUCAAUUAACACAAAGCAGGAAGAGAAGUCUGCACAACUAGACCACAUUUGGGUAACCCGGUGGCUUGAUGAUAUUGGCUUGCCUCAAUACAAAGACCAGUUUCACGAAUCCAGGGUUGAUGGACGGAUGCUUCAGUACCUAACUGUGAAUGACCUUCUCUUCUUAAAAGUCACCAGUCAGCUGCAUCAUCUCAGCAUCAAAUGUGCCAUCCACGUGCUACAUGUCAACAAAUUCAAUCCUCACUGCCUGCACAGGAGACCCGCGGAUGAGAGUAACGUGUCUCCUUCUGAAGUGGUACAAUGGUCCAACCACCGAGUGAUGGAAUGGCUGAGGUCAGUGGACCUGGCUGAAUAUGCUCCAAAUCUCCGAGGAAGCGGAGUUCACGGUGGUCUCAUUAUCCUGGAACCCCGUUUCAGCGGGGACACACUAGCCAUGCUUCUGAACAUUCCUCCUCAGAAGACACUCCUCCGACGCCAUUUAACCACCAAUUUCAAUGUCCUCGUUGGCCCCGUGGCCCAGCAAGAAAAGAGAGACAUAAUGACAUCCACAGCCUACACGCCUCUGACCACUACUGCCAAAGUCCGGCCAAAGAAACUAGGAUUUUCACACUUUGGAAAUAUGAGAAAAAAGAAGUUUGAUGAAUCUACAGACUACAUAUGUCCCACAGAGCCAAGUGAAAGUGUGAAUGGCAAUCACAAGGCUUAUGGUGGCCACAGCCACCGAGGCCUCGGCCCCAGUCCCGGGGAGGAACUGGAUAAACUGGAUCAGAUGGAGCCCUCGGAAGGUACAGUCCUGCAGAUAGGGGUCAUCUCCCAAGGCAUUCACAACCUCACGACUGUGCUGAACCAAGAUGGGUACUAAAAUGAAACUCACUCAUCUUCUAAUAUCCAUGGCUAGAAGAUCAGAAAUGUUUAGUCACCCAAAUCAGGAGUGCUAACUACAGCCAAACGUCUCCGAAUACUGCCAAAGAAAAGGCUAAGGGGAGCUGGAAAAGAGUGCAGCCUGAAAGUUUUUUCAUCUUGGUCAAUAUGUUUCUCUCUGCCCAAGUCAGUGAUAAUCUGAUGAUUCAAUGAUGAGGAGAAAGGUUGUACAAAUGAUAAGUGCAGGCAAGUAGGUCUCAGCUCAUGUAUGGAAAGGCAGGGACAAGACAAAUUCAACAUGAUAUAUUUUGGUGAAGCUGACAGACAUAAACAGGACAUUCUCUAUCUGUGGACACAAGCUGUUGGUGCUUUGCUGGGAUGACUGGGCUGGAGGAAGAAGCCUAGAUGCUACUGAAUGAAUAAGAAACCCAGAGCCAUCUCCAAUCAUUCCGAUCUGUAUCUGGCCACUUGACCCCGUUGGCUCUGGAGAAGAAAAGUGAGGCUGGUGACCUUGAACAUCCUCCCUCCUUGAAAUCCAUUGUAUGAUCCAUUAUAUCAUCUCCCUGAUGUUAUAGUCUUCUUCGAGAAUAAAGGACAAAUAACUAGUUCAGCAGAGUGAAA